AUGCCAGCUCAUAAUGCUAGCAAAGCUACAUCCAUAUUCCUUCUACUCGAGGCACAUGUCUGCAGCCAACUUCCAGUUUCUACCUCCCCGAUCUAUUUUGCUUCUGUAGGCUUCUGCCAGCACCACAAUUUAUCAAGGAAAGGAAGGAAUUUUUCACAUGGAGCUGCUGCCCUUGUCGCUAAGCAAGAACUAGAUCAUAGCCAAAAAGGAAGAUUGGUCCGAUUCGUCAUGCCUCCAGAGAAGAUAGAGAUCAAGCCAAAAAACAUCGAUGCUGCAGCAGGAGAGAUACUUGGUGUUUUGGAGGACACAAGCAAAGGAAAUCUGAUCUACUUCAAGGGCUGGGAGGGAUUUGGAGCAUCGGCUAUUCUCAAUCUGGUAGCUCAACGCCUGAAAUCAUCAACAAGACAGAACAAGUUUGAUAUAGUUAUCCAUGUGGAUUGCUCGGUAUGGAAAAGCAUGAGAGCCCUGCAAAAGGCAAUCGCGGAGGAGUUGGAGCUUCCGCAUUCAGUAAUGGCCAUCUUUGAUCGGUGUGAGGAGGACGACGACUUCAGUGGGAUAGACCAAGGCUCCAGAGGGGUGAUAGAAGAUAUCAGAAGGGAAAUCUUCAGAAAACUUGUUAACAGUAUAUUUGUGGUAGUUUUUCACAACGGGACCAGAAGGUACAUUGAUUUGUAUGAUUGCGGUGUCCCAAUAACAAAAUUUUUGAGUAACAUGAUGUUGUGGACCUGGCACGGGAGGUUUCGGGUCGAUCUCGAUCGAAUACUAGAAGAUGGGGAACAGGGAAAGAUGAAGAGUCAGACAGAUGUUCUCUUAUAUGCUUCUCCGCAACUUGAAGAUGAGGAAAUACGAGAUCUACUGCGUGAAGAGGCUUUGGAGGUCGCCAGGUGUGCGGGCAUUGUUAAGCCCGAUGAUAUAAGCCACAAGAUAGUCAUGGAGUGCCUCAUAUACAUGACAAAAAUUGCUACGGACUUGAAGACACAUGCACCAAACUAUUGGAUCUGUGAUGGUAUUAUACAGGGCCAAGACAAUGCAUCAGCAUGGGAUAUUGGCAAUUCUCUGCACAGAAACAUGUGCUUGGAUGUUGAGCUAACAUAUAAUGAGGAAACAGCUCCCAUGCUACAGGUGUCGGGUGAUUUACUUGUUAACCGCUAG
RNAcentral lists this ribosomal RNA (1152 nucleotides) under Triticum aestivum (bread wheat). RNAcentral's name for it is "partial small subunit ribosomal RNA". The record is from RNAcentral. Lineage: Eukaryota; Viridiplantae; Streptophyta; Magnoliopsida; Poales; Poaceae.